This is a non-coding RNA of Myodes glareolus (Bank vole), 342 nucleotides long. The record is from RefSeq and is a predicted model, not a curated record. NCBI's taxonomy places the organism in Eukaryota, Metazoa, Chordata, Mammalia, Rodentia, Cricetidae.
CCCGCCUUCCUCCGGCGCGGCGGGGCCGGCUGCGAAGUGCGGGGCCGGGUCUGUGGUUCCCAUCGGACCCGGGAGGCGGCAGCGUCGGCCCGAAGUCCCCGCGGUCUCGGGAAAGGCGCGUGAAGACCUCGCGAAGACGCGGGAGACGUCCUUGCGCUAUCGCUUCAGGUUCUGCACGGCGAACCCAUUUCUCCCCCGCACCAGCCAGUCUGUGACUCGGGAAAUGGGUGGUCUCUGUCUCUCUCUUUAGGUUCUUACAUAGAUCGGGACUCUGAUGAGAACCACCCCCUCUUUUGGGGAGUCAUGGAUGGGGAUAGUAAAGAUGCAUCUUCUUGGGAGUCA